GAAGGUGACCUGUGAGGGUUGCUGGAGGUAUCAGAAGUGCGAAUGCUGACAUAAGUAACGAUAAAGCGGGUGAAAAGCCCGCUCGCCGGAAGACCAAGGGUUCCUGUCCAACGUUAAUCGGGGCAGGGUGAGUCGACCCCUAAGGCGAGGCCGAAAGGCGUAGUCGAUGGGAAACGGGUUAAUAUUCCCGUACUUGGUGUUACUGCGAAGGGGGGGACGGAGAAGGCUAUGUUGGCCGGGCGACGGUUGUCCCGGUUUAAGCGUGUAGGUGUGUGUUCCAGGUAAAUCCGGUUCACUUUAACACUGAGGCGUGAUGACGAGGCACUACGGUGCUGAAGCAACAAAUGCCCUGCUUCCAGGAAAAGCCUCUAAGCAUCAGGUAACAUCAAAUCGUACCCCAAACCGACACAGGUGGUCAGGUAGAGAAUACCAAGGCGCUUGAGAGAACUCGGGUGAAGGAACUAGGCAAAAUGGUGCCGUAACUUCGGGAGAAGGCACGCUGACACGUAGGUGAAGUGAUUUACUCACGGAGCUGAAGUCAGUCGAAGAUACCAGCUGGCUGCAACUGUUUAUUAAAAACACAGCACUGUGCAAACACGAAAGUGGACGUAUACGGUGUGACGCCUGCCCGGUGCCGGAAGGUUAAUUGAUGGGGUCAGCGCAAGCGAAGCUCCUGAUCGAAGCCCCGGUAAACGGCGGCCGUAACUAUAACGGUCCUAAGGUAGCGAAAUUCCUUGUCGGGUAAGUUCCGACCUGCACGAAUGGCGUAAUGAUGGCCAGGCUGUCUCCACCCGAGACUCAGUGAAAUUGAACUCGCUGUGAAGAUGCAGUGUACCCGCGGCAAGACGGAAAGACCCCGUGAACCUUUACUAUAGCUUGACACUGAACAUUGAGCCUUGAUGUGUAGGAUAGGUGGGAGGCUUUGAAGUGUGGACGCCAGUCUGCAUGGAGCCGACCUUGAAAUACCACCCUUUAAUGUUUGAUGUUCUAACGUGGACCCGUAAUCCGGGUUGCGGACAGUGUCUGGUGGGUAGUUUGACUGGGGCGGUCUCCUCCUAAAGAGUAACGGAGGAGCACGAAGGUUGGCUAAUCCUGGUCGGACAUCAGGAGGUUAGUGCAAUGGCAUAAGCCAGCUUGACUGCGAGCGUGACGGCGCGAGCAGGUGCGAAAGCAGGUCAUAGUGAUCCGGUGGUUCUGAAUGGAAGGGCCAUCGCUCAACGGAUAAAAGGUACUCCGGGGAUAACAGGCUGAUACCGCCCAAGAGUUCAUAUCGACGGCGGUGUUUGGCACCUCGAUGUCGGCUCAUCACAUCCUGGGGCUGAAGUAGGUCCCAAGGGUAUGGCUGUUCGCCAUUUAAAGUGGUACGCGAGCUGGGUUUAGAACGUCGUGAGACAGUUCGGUCCCUAUCUGCCGUGGGCGCUGGAGAACUGAGGGGGGCUGCUCCUAGUACGAGAGGACCGGAGUGGACGCAUCACUGGUGUUCGGGUUGUCAUGCCAAUGGCACUGCCCGGUAGCUAAAUGCGGAAGAGAUAAGUGCUGAAAGCAUCUAAGCACGAAACUUGCCCCGA
This 1568-nucleotide ribosomal RNA is filed under the name Salmonella enterica. Its description in RNAcentral is "partial 23S ribosomal RNA". It matches the Rfam family "Bacterial large subunit ribosomal RNA", at positions 1252 to 2802 of the family's 2925-position model. RNAcentral also lists the same sequence under 1 other name. Lineage: Bacteria; Pseudomonadati; Pseudomonadota; Gammaproteobacteria; Enterobacterales; Enterobacteriaceae. The record is from RNAcentral.